This 1890-nucleotide ribosomal RNA is filed under the name Deltaproteobacteria bacterium. RNAcentral describes it as "partial 23S ribosomal RNA". It matches the Rfam family "Bacterial large subunit ribosomal RNA", at positions 1 to 1885 of the family's 2925-position model. Lineage: Bacteria; Pseudomonadati; Myxococcota; Myxococcia. The record is from RNAcentral.
GGCUAAGCUACUAAGAGCAAACGGUGGAUGCCUUGGCGUCAAGAGGCGAUGAAAGACGUGGUAAGCUGCGAUAAGCUUCGGGGAGCUGCUAAACAAGCUUUGAUCCGGAGAUUUCUGAAUGGGGGAACCCAGUGCGAUUAAUUUUGCAUUACCCUUAACUGAAUACAUAGGUUAAGGGGGCGAACGAGGUGAACUGAAACAUCUAAGUAACCUCAGGAAGAGAAAGUAAAAACGAUAUUCCAAGUAGCGGCGAGCGAAAGGGAUAGAGCCUAAACCUUGUGCAUGUGAUAGCCUGGAGGCGUUGUGCAUAAGGGGUCGUGGGAUUUGACAUUCAUCAACUCCAGUUGGUGAGGGAAGUUACAAAGUUGAUUGUUAUCUGAACAUUCUGGAAAGGAUGACCAAAGAGGGUGACAGUCCUGUAAGAGAAAGCAAUCAACCUUCCUUGUCGAAAAAUACUACUUGACGACCGAUAGCGAACCAGUACCGUGAGGGAAAGGUGAAAAGUACCCCUGUGAGGGGAGUGAAAUAGUACCUGAAACCGUUUGCUUACAAGCAGUGGGAGCACGAUGCCUUCGGGCCGUGUGACCGCGUGCCUUUUGCAUAAUGAGUCAGCGAGUUAAUCUACGUAGCAAGGUUAAGCCGUGAGGUGUAGCCGUAGCGAAAGCGAGUCUGAACAGGGCGAACAUAGUUGCGUGGAUUAGACCCGAAACCAAGUGAUCUAUCCAUGGCCAGGUUGAAGCGUGAGUAAAAUCACGUGGAGGACCGAACCGUCGUAGGUUGAAAACUGCUCGGAUGAGCUGUGGAUAGGGGUGAAAGGCCAAACAAACUUGGAAAUAGCUGGUUCUCUCCGAAAUAUAUUUAGGUAUAGCCUUGCGUAACUAUGCAACGGGGGUAGAGCACUGAAUGGGCUAGGGGUCUCACCAGAUUACCAAACCUAAUCAAACUCCGAAUACCGUUGACAUUUAUCGCAGGAGUCAGGCUGCGGGAGCUAAGUUCCGCGGCCGAGAGGGAAACAACCCAGAUCGUCAGCUAAGGUCCCUAAAUCCAUACUAAGUGGUAAAGGAAGUGGAAAUGCCCAGACAACCAGGAGGUUGGCUUAGAAGCAGCCAUCCUUUAAAGAAAGCGUAACAGCUCACUGGUCGAGUGAGUCCGCGCCGAAGAUGUAACGGGGCUAAGUAUGGUACCGAAGCUACGGGUUAGUAUUUAUACUGACGGUAGGAGAGCAUUCUGUAGGGUUGAAGGUCGACCGAAAGGACGGCUGGACUGAUCAGAAGAGCCCAUGCUGACAUGAGUAGCGAUAAAGCGGGUGAAAAACCCGCUCGCCGAAAGCCUAAGGUUUCCUGAGUUAAGCUAAUCUUCUCAGGGUUAGUCGAUCCCUAAGCCGAGGCCGAAAGGCGUAGGUGAUGGAAAACAGGUUAAUAUUCCUGUACCACCGUAUAAUCGUUUGAGAGACGGAGGGACGCAGGAGGGUAGGUCAUCCGGGUGAUGGAUAUCCCGGUUCAAGCAGGUAGGCUUAAAGAGUAGGCAAAUCCGCUCUUUUUUAAGGCCGAGACGCGAUGACGAGCACAUAGUGCAUAAAGUGAUUGAUCCCAUGCUGCCAAGAAAAUCUUCUAUCGAGAUUGUAAGGUGAUCGUACCGCAAACCGACACAGGUAGGCAGGAAGAGAAUUCCAAGGCGCUUGAGAGAACCCUGGUUAAGGAACUCGGCAAAAUCACACCGUAACUUAGGGAGAAGGUGUACCCCAUAUAUGUGAUUCACUUCGCGUGAUGAGCAGACAGGGGUCGCAGAGAAAUGGCGGUAGCGACUGUUUACUAAAAACAUAGGACUCUGCUAAGUCGCAAGACGAUGUAUAGGGUCUGACGCCUGCCCGGUGCCGGAAGGUUAAGGGGA